Molecule: ribosomal RNA, 552 nt
Filed under: uncultured Thermaerobacter sp.
Lineage: Bacteria; Bacillati; Bacillota; Clostridia; Eubacteriales; Clostridiales Family XVII. Incertae Sedis
Description: bacterial SSU rRNA
Rfam family: Bacterial small subunit ribosomal RNA
Source: RNAcentral
GGGACGAAGGUUGGGGGUUGAAAGGCCUCCGGCUGACGGUACCGGAAGAGGAAGCCCCGGCUAACUACGUGCCAGCAGCCGCGGUAAGACGUAGGGGGCGAGCGUUGUCCGGAAUCACUGGGCGUAAAGGGCGCGUAGGCGGCCUGGCAAGUCGGAUGUGAAAGGCCCCGGCUCAACCGGGGAGGUGCAUCCGAAACUGCCGGGCUUGAGGGCAGGAGAGGGCAGCGGAAUUCCCGGUGGAGCGGUGAAAUGCGUAGAGAUCGGGAGGAACACCAGUGGCGAAGGCGGCUGCCUGGCCUGGCCCUGACGCUGAGGCGCGACAGCGUGGGGAGCGAACGGGAUUAGAUACCCCGGUAGUCCACGCCGUAAACGAUGGGUGCUAGGUGUGGGAGGUAUCGACCCCUUCCGUGCCGGAGCUAACGCACUAAGCACCCCGCCUGGGGAGUACGGCCGCAAGGCUGAAACUCAAAGGAAUUGACGGGGGCCCGCACAAGCGGUGGAGCAUGUGGUUUAAUUCGAAGCAACGCGAAGAACCUUACCUGGGCUUGACAU